CCUGCGGGCCCGGCUCCUGCCCUCAUCCUGUUGGCCCGUACCCCCACCCCGGAUGCCUUGUAUCCUGUCCCCGCGGGUCUCAGACCUCUGGCGCCCCGCCUGCCCGGUGCCCCACCGCCCCGCCACAGCUCUCGGUCCUCCGCUGCAGGCCCCUCACCCUUCUUCCGGUGUGUCCUCCAGUGUCUGCCUUGGCUCUUGGAGAUCCUGCUGAUGGCUGGCGGGAGCGCACCGCCCGAAGAGGAGUUCCAAGCCCCGCCGGCUCUAGGGGUGCAGAACUUGCGGACUGAGGCCUAGGAGUGGGGUGCAGGUCGCCAAAAGUGGUCCCAAAAGCGGCCACCUAUCCAAGAGAAAUUCUGCAGGACCCCCUUGCCAGAUCUAGCCCCUACGUAUACUUUCCAACAGAAGAAGCCGCUGUCCACAAAUACUGGACUCUGUUAAGUGACAUGGUUGCUCAAGGGAAUUUACAGGUUGGAACCACAGUGAGUUAACAGACCUGGCUGGAGGUUUUGGGGAAAGCAGUGAGGGGGCAGAGGAGGCGAGCAACAGGUGGAGCAGGCCUUCACCCGGACACAAGGAGUCCCAAACUUGUCUCUGAGAACAGAAACCCAGGUCCCUUGCCAACUGGAACUCUAGUACCAUCUACUGGAAGAUUCAGACACUGCAUUUGCACAAGUGGUUUCACUCCAGGUUAACGUUUCAGUAUGAAGAAGUAAGCCGUCUUUCUGCUAUGGCUUCCUCUGAAUGGCCCUACUUCAGAGUUUUGCAAAAUGGUGUUAAUUCAGCUCUACAGCCCCCAAG
This is a long non-coding RNA of Tupaia belangeri chinensis (Chinese tree shrew), 798 nucleotides long. RefSeq lists it as uncharacterized. Lineage: Eukaryota; Metazoa; Chordata; Mammalia; Scandentia; Tupaiidae. The record is from RefSeq and is a predicted model, not a curated record. The transcript has 6 exons.